RNAcentral lists this ribosomal RNA (177 nucleotides) under Triticum aestivum (bread wheat). Its description in RNAcentral is "partial small subunit ribosomal RNA". The record is from RNAcentral. Lineage: Eukaryota; Viridiplantae; Streptophyta; Magnoliopsida; Poales; Poaceae.
AUGGAGUAUCAGCCGCUGGUUUCCGCCCUCGACGCCAGAACCACUCCGGUCACCCUCGACGAAUUGUUCGGACAGAUGAGCAAUUUUGAUCAGAGGGUGGCUCUUUUCCAAGGCGCGGGAGGUGGCUUCAAGUCAUCUGCCAAUGUUGCCACCCGCGGCCGUGGCGGGGGCUCUCGU